Molecule: ribosomal RNA, 301 nt
Filed under: uncultured bacterium
Lineage: Bacteria
Description: partial 16S ribosomal RNA
Rfam family: Bacterial small subunit ribosomal RNA
Source: RNAcentral
CAGCAGCCGCGGUAAUACGUAGGUGGCAAGCGUUGUCCGGAAUUAUUGGGCGUAAAGGGCUCGCAGGCGGUUUCUUAAGUCUGAUGUGAAAGCCCCCGGCUCAACCGGGGAGGGUCAUUGGAAACUGGGAAGCUUGAGUGCAGAAGAGGAGAGUGGAAUUCCACGUGUAGCGGUGAAAUGCGUAGAGAUGUGGAGGAACACCAGUGGCGAAGGCGACUCUCUGGUCUGUAACUGACGCUGAGGAGCGAAAGCGUGGGGAGCGAACAGGAUUAGAUACCCCAGUAGUCCCUGUCUCUUAUAC